This 155-nucleotide ribosomal RNA is filed under the name uncultured Bacillota bacterium. RNAcentral describes it as "uncultured Firmicutes bacterium partial 16S ribosomal RNA". Lineage: Bacteria; Bacillati; Bacillota. The record is from RNAcentral.
CUGCUGGCACGUAGUUAGCCGUGACUUUCUGGUUGGAUACCGUCACUGCGUGAACAGUUACUCUCACGCACGUUCUUCUCCAACAACAGAGCUUUACGAGCCGAAACCCUUCUUCACUCACGCGGUGUUGCUCCAUCAGGCUUGCGCCCAUUGUG